Molecule: non-coding RNA, 90 nt
Organism: Acanthosepion pharaonis
Lineage: Eukaryota; Metazoa; Mollusca; Cephalopoda; Sepiida; Sepiidae
Source: the annotation of a GenBank genome assembly
CCCGGUACCCGUACGAUCACCUCAGUUAAGCAAUGUCGAGCCUGGUCAGUACCUAGAUGGGUGAUCGCUUGGGAAUAACAGGUGCUGUAA